RNAcentral lists this ribosomal RNA (422 nucleotides) under uncultured bacterium. Its description in RNAcentral is "bacterial SSU rRNA". It matches the Rfam family "Bacterial small subunit ribosomal RNA", at positions 917 to 1338 of the family's 1533-position model. The record is from RNAcentral.
GGGUCCGCACAAGCGGUGGAGUAUGUGGUUUAAUUCGAUGCAACGCGAAGAACCUUACCAGGGUUUGACAUCCUGCGAAUCUCUUGGAAACGAGAGAGUGCCUUCGGGAACGCAGUGACAGGUGGUGCAUGGCUGUCGUCAGCUCGUGUCGUGAGAUGUUGGGUUAAGUCCCGCAACGAGCGCAACCCUCGUCCUAUGUUGCCAACACGUAAUGGUGGGAACUCAUGGGAUACUGCCGGUGAUAAACCGGAGGAAGGUGUGGAUGACGUCAAGUCAUCAUGCCCCUUACAUCCUGGGCUACACACGUACUACAAUGCUACGGACAAAGGGCUGCAAGUUCGCGAGGACAAGCAAAUCCCAUAAACCGUGGCUCAGUUCAGAUCGUAGGCUGCAACUCGCCUACGUGAAGGCGGAAUCGCUAG